UACAGAGGGUGCAAGCGUUAAUCGGAAUUACUGGGCGUAAAGCGUGCGUAGACGGUUAUGUAAGUCAGAUGUGAAAGCCCCGGGCUCAACCUGGGAAUUGCAUUUGAGACUGUGUAGCUAGGGUGCGGAAGAGGGAAGCGGAAUUCCUGGUGUAGCGGUGAAAUGCGUAGAUAUCAGGAGGAACACCGGUGGUGUAGACGGCUCUCUGGACCGUAACUGACGCUGAGACACGAAAGCGUGGGUAGCAAACAGG
This 253-nucleotide ribosomal RNA is filed under the name uncultured bacterium. RNAcentral's name for it is "partial 16S ribosomal RNA". It matches the Rfam family "Bacterial small subunit ribosomal RNA", at positions 524 to 776 of the family's 1533-position model. The record is from RNAcentral.